Molecule: ribosomal RNA, 257 nt
Filed under: uncultured bacterium
Lineage: Bacteria
Description: partial 16S ribosomal RNA
Rfam family: Bacterial small subunit ribosomal RNA
Source: RNAcentral
CCCUACGGGACGCAGCAGUAGGGAAUCUUCCACAAUGGACGAAAGUCUGAUGGAGCAACGCCGCGUGAGUGAAGAAGGGUUUCGGCUCGUAAAGCUCUGUUGGUAGUGAAGGAAGAUAGAGGUAGUAACUGGCCUUUAUUUGACGGUAAUUACUUAGAAAGUCACGGCUAACUACGUGCUAGCAGCCGCGGUAAUACGUAGGUGGCAGGCGUUGUCCGGGUUUAUUGGGCGUAAAGCGAGUGCAGGCGGUUUAAUAA